GGCGCCGAACGCACGAAAACUCAAUUUUCCCCCCCUUCCCUUCGAUUUUACCCCGUACAGUGCUCACAAAUCCCGCGAGUCCCUUUCUUCCCCAAAUUCGUCUUUUCCAUUUUCUCUCUACCUGCAAAAUUAAUCAAAACCCACCCAUUUUUGUUGCUACGCGACUCUCCUCUUCCACCAAAAACCACCAUUGACAGCGAAUCUGCCUCCACCGAUUUGGCGACCGCGGCUGUCCUGUUCUACAUUUCUUUUUAGCACGGGUUUCGUUGAUCGCGUCCUCCUCGUCCUCUCCUCUACUCGAUUGCCGCCGAUUAACAUUGAUGAUGCAGUUUGAUUGAAGGCCUUGUGGUACAUUUCUGUUAAGGAAAAGAGAAUGGCUUCAGCAGGGCCACAACAAUCACUCGAGACGUGAUUCAUCUGUGACUAGAGAAGACGAUCAACUUAUCAUAACUCCUUUGGGUGCUGCUUUCACUUGGAUCAUGCUGCAUCCCUACCAUAUUUUCUGGAAAGACCACCUUCAAAGGUCGAGUUUUCAUGACUUAUCCAACAAAGGCAAUCUACAAGCUGCUUUUGACUGAUUAUGUUAAAGUUAGCAAAGUUUCAGUUGAAGAUAUGUUGUACAAUGAACAGGACAUCAAUCGCUCCAUGGAUAAAAUUGAGAGGAAAAAAGAAGACAAGAAGUAAGAGAAGUGUCUGCUUGGCAUUAGAGGCCAAUCUCUCAUGUUUAGUCCUCUUUCACAUAACCAAACAAUGUUUGAUAGCCAUCGAAGACUAUUUUACUUUUAAACUACUAAGAGCCUUAAUAGUUGUUCAGUGUAGGUUGUGUCACAAUAACAUGUAGUUUUCAAUUUCUUGAGACGUAGUUUUCAAUUUCCUGUUCCAAUAAUAUAGAUCUGAUCUUUUUAACUAUCUUUAAAAGGCAUGUAAACUACAUAAGUUUGAGAUGUUUCGUCCUUUAGUACUUCGGUAUGAUGCAAGCUUGGAUGUUUGGAGUU
Long non-coding RNA from Juglans microcarpa x Juglans regia, 995 nucleotides. RefSeq lists it as uncharacterized. The record is from RefSeq and is a predicted model, not a curated record. The transcript is spliced from 6 exons. NCBI's taxonomy places the organism in Eukaryota, Viridiplantae, Streptophyta, Magnoliopsida, Fagales, Juglandaceae.